ACUGUAACUGUGUCUUGUUGACUGAGAUUUUGUAUCUGUGUCAUUAUGUUGGCUGAGAAGCUUUAACUGUUUCAGUAUGUUGGCUGAGAAGCUGUAACUGUGUCAUGUUGGCUGUAACUGUGUCAUGUUGGCUGUAACUGUGUCAUGUUGGCUGUAACUGUGUCAUGUUGGCUAUAACUGUCUUAUGUUGGCUGUCAUGUUGGCUGUAACUGUGUCAUGUUGGCUAUAACUGUCUUUAUGUUGGCUGAGAAGCUGUAACUGUGUCAUGUUGGCUGUAACUGUGUCAUGUUGGCUGUAACUGUCUUUAUGUUGGCUGAGAAGCUGUUACUGUGUCAUGUUGGCUGUAACUGUGUCAUGUUGGCUGUAACUGUCUUUAUGUUGGCCGAGAGGCUGUAACUGUGUCAUGUUGGCUGUAACUGUCUUUAUGUUGGCCGAGAGACUGUAACUGUAACUGUGUCAGUAUGUUGACUGAGAGGCUGUAACUGAGUCAGUAUGUUGGCUGAGAGGCUGUAAAUGUGUCAUGUUGGCUGUAGCUGUGUCAUGUUGGCUGUAACUGUCUUUAUGUUGGCCGAGAGGCUGUAACUGUAACUGUGUCUUGUUGACUGAGAUUUUGUAUCUGUGUCAUUAUGUUGGCUGAGAAGCUUUAACUGUUUCAGUAUGUUGGCUGAGAAGCUGUAACUGUGUCAUGUUGGCUGUAGCUGUGUCAUGUUGGCUGUAACUGUCUUUAUGUUGGCCGAGAGGCUGUAACUGUAACUGUGUCAGUAUGUUGACUGAGAGGCUGUAAUUGUGUCAUGUUGGCUGUAACUGUGAUCAUGUUGGCUGAGAUGUUGUAACUGUGUCAUGUUGGCCGAGAGGCUGUAACUGUGUCAUGUUGGCUGAGAGGCUGUAACUGUCAUCAUGUUGGCUGAGAUGUUGUAACUAUCAUCAUGUUGCCUGAGAGACUGUAACUGUCAUUAUGUUGACUGAGAUUUUGUAACUGUCUUUAUGUUGGCUGAGAGACUGUAACUGUCAUUAUGUUGACUGAGGGGUUGUAACUGUCAUUAUGUUGGCUGAGAGACUGUAACUGUCAUUACAUUGGCUUAGGGGUUGUAACUGUCAUUAUGUUGGCUGAGAGACCGAAACUGUCAUUAUGUUUGCUGAGGGGUUGUAACUGUCAUUAUGUUGGCUGAGAGACUGUAAAUGUCAUUAUGUUGGCUGAGGGGUUGUAACUGUCAUUAUGUUGGCUGAGAGACUGUAACUGUCAUUAUGUUGGCUGAGGGGUUGUAACUGUCAUUAUAUUGGCUGAGAGACUGUAACUAUCAUCAUAUUGGCUGAGAGGCUGUAACUGUCAUUAUGUUGGCUGAGGGGUUGUAACUGUCAUCAUGUUGGCUGAGAGACUGUAACUGUCAUUAUGCUGGCUGAGAGGUUGUAACUGUCAUCAUGUUGGCUGAGAGGUUGUAACUGUCAUCAUGUUGGCUGAGAGACUGUAACUGUCAUUAUGUUGGCUGAGAGACUGUAACUGUCAUUAUGUUGGCUGAGAGACUGUAACUGUCAUGUUGGCUGAGAGGCUGUAACUGUCAUGUUGGCUGAGGGGUUGUAACUGUCAUUAUGUUGGCUGAGAGACUGUAACUGUCAUUAUGUUGGCUGAGAGGCUGUAACUGUCAUUAUGUUGGCUGAGGGGUUGUAACUGUCAUUAUGUUGGCUGAGAUGUUGUAACUGUCAUUAUGUUGGCUGAGAUGUUGUAACUGCCAUGUUGGCUGAGAGACUGUAACUGUCAUUAUGUUGGCUGAGAGGCUGUAACUGUCAUUAUGUUGGCUGAGAUGUUGUAACUGUCAAUAUGUUGGCUGAGAGGUUGUAACUGUUAUUGUGGUGGCUGAGAGGCUGUAACUGGCUACUGGUUAGUUUGUGAGUGUACAGCUACUCCAAAGUGUUUAGGUGGCAGCAUUAUGUUCAGUUCUAAGAGAGGUUGAAAUAUGCAGUCGAUGUGAGACAAUGUGAUACAACUCACUUCAAAGUUUGAUUUGACAAUCUGAGUCUUACAGAAAUGUUCACUUAAAUAGGCUGAACAAACUUUCAUCAAAAUAUAUGACGAUUCAGACUGAGUUGUAACUUGCCGUCAGGUGGUGAAAGACAGUGAUGCAGUGAACUGCUAGUUAUUUCUUACUGGUAUUGCAUUAACAGUUUAUGUACAUUGUAAAUGUAAGAUUUAUGUUGUAAUGGCAGCGUGUAUUAAACAGAAAACCUUCCUGUCUUUUCAUAUCUGAAAAUGAGAAGUUGACUAUACUGCUAUAUAGUAUUGGAACUACACAAAGAAUGUUGAUGUUUAGGUUAUUCCAAUGUUUGUGUUUUAGUUGGGAGAAGUAAAAGCAUGCUUGAUAUCAGUUUGACUAUGGGAUAGUUGAGAGUGAUAGUAGGCUAGCUUUUACUGUGAUAUUACCUACACAGAUAUGGUACUGUAGGUAGAUGCCAUGUUUAACAUCUUCCUCUGUUAAACAGUAUCACAUUUUCUGUUUUAGAAACAUAUAUAAAAGAGAAUAAAAGAUAUGUGGAAUUUGA
RNAcentral lists this long non-coding RNA (2535 nucleotides) under Haliotis rubra (blacklip abalone). RNAcentral's name for it is "uncharacterized LOC124285941". Lineage: Eukaryota; Metazoa; Mollusca; Gastropoda; Lepetellida; Haliotidae. The record is from RNAcentral.